This 321-nucleotide ribosomal RNA is filed under the name Triticum aestivum (bread wheat). RNAcentral describes it as "partial small subunit ribosomal RNA". Lineage: Eukaryota; Viridiplantae; Streptophyta; Magnoliopsida; Poales; Poaceae. The record is from RNAcentral.
AUGCGGUACCGUGCUCGAUGUUCCCUUGAGUCGGCAUCUAAAUUGCCUUCAGAAUUAUACAGUCCUUGGCCUUCAGAGUCUCUGCAUCUGUUGGAUAACCUUGAGAAGGUUGCAUUGCAUGGUCGUACGACGUCCACGCAGGCAAGCACCCCUGAGCCGAAGGCCUCAUUCAAGCAAAGCUUGCAGCGUGGAGAAGCGAAAUCUCGGACAAAUCUGACAUCGCUGCACCUUGCAACAUGUUUGGCCACCAAUUCUCUUCAAGCCCAAGAAAAAGGCACCCCCAAAGCUUGCAGGAUAACGACCUGCAGAGAUCGUUCGUAA